AGAGUUUGAUCAUGGCUCAGGAUGAACGCUGGCGGCGUGCCUAACACAUGCAAGUCGAGCGAUUUACUUCGGUAAAGAGCGGCGGACGGGUGAGUAACGCGUGGGUAACCUGCCCUAUACACACGGAUAACAUACCGAAAGGUAUGCUAAUACGAGAUAAUAUAAGAGAUUCACAUGGAUUUCUUAUCAAAGCUGAGGCGGUAUAGGAUGGACCCGCGUCUGAUUAGCUAGUUGGUAAGGUAACGGCUUACCAAGGCGACGAUCAGUAGCCGACCUGAGAGGGUGAUCGGCCACAUUGGAACUGAGACACGGUCCAAACUCCUACGGGAGGCAGCAGUGGGGAAUAUUGCACAAUGGGCGAAAGCCUGAUGCAGCAACGCCGCGUGAGUGAUGAAGGCCUUCGGGUCGUAAAACUCUGUCCUCAAGGAAGAUAAUGACGGUACUUGAGGAGGAAGCCCCGGCUAACUACGUGCCAGCAGCCGCGGUAAUACGUAGGGGGCUAGCGUUAUCCGGAUUUACUGGGCGUAAAGGGUGCGUAGGUGGCCUCUUAAGUCAGGAGUGAAAGGCUACGGCUUAACCGUAGUAAGCUCUUGAAACUGGGAGACUUGAGUGCAGGAGAGGAAAGUGGAAUUCCUAGUGUAGCGGUGAAAUGCGUAGAUAUUAGGAGGAACACCAGUAGCGAAGGCGGCUUUCUGGACUGUAACUGACACUGAGGCACGAAAGCGUGGGGAGCAAACAGGAUUAGAUACCCUGGUAGUCCACGCCGUAAACGAUGAGUACUAGGUGUCGGGGGUUACCCCCCUCGGUGCCGCAGCUAACGCAUUAAGUACUCCGCCUGGGGAGUACGCUCGCAGAGUGAAACUCAAAUGAAUUGACGG
Molecule: ribosomal RNA, 878 nt
Filed under: uncultured bacterium
Lineage: Bacteria
Description: bacterial SSU rRNA
Rfam family: Bacterial small subunit ribosomal RNA
Source: RNAcentral